UCUUUAUGGGGUGACUGCGUACCUUUUGUAUAAUGGGUCAGCGACUUAUAUUCUGUAGCAAGGUUAACCGAAUAGGGGAGCCGAAGGGAAACCGAGUCUUAACUGGGCGUUAAGUUGCAGGGUAUAGACCCGAAACCCGGUGAUCUAGCCAUGGGCAGGUUGAAGGUUGGGUAACACUAACUGGAGGACCGAACCGACUAAUGUUGAAAAAUUAGCGGAUGACUUGUGGCUGGGGGUGAAAGGCCAAUCAAACCGGGAGAUAGCUGGUUCUCCCCGAAAGCUAUUUAGGUAGCGCCUCGUGAAUUCAUCUCCGGGGGUAGAGCACUGUUUCGGCAAGGGGGUCAUCCCGACUUACCAACCCGAUGCAAACUGCGAAUACCGGAGAAUGUUAUCACGGGAGACACACGGCGGGUGCUAACGUCCGUCGUGAAGAGGGAAACAACCCAGACCGCCAGCUAAGGUCCCAAAGUCAUGGUUAAGUGGGAAACGAUGUGGGAAGGCCCAGACAGCCAGGAUGUUGGCUUAGAAGCAGCCAUCAUUUAAAGAAAGCGUAAUAGCUCACUGGUCGAGUCGGCCUGCGCGGAAGAUGUAACGGGGCUAAACCAUGCACCGAAGCUGCGGCAGCGACGCUGAUGCGUUGUUGGGUAGGGGAGCGUUCUGUAAGCCUGCGAAGGUGUGCUGUGAGGCAUGCUGGAGGUAUCAGAAGUGCGAAUGCUGACAUAAGUAACGAUAAAGCGGGUGAAAAGCCCGCUCGCCGGAAGACCAAGGGUUCCUGUCCAACGUUAAUCGGGGCAGGGUGAGUCGACCCCUAAGGCGAGGCCGAAAGGCGUAGUCGAUGGGAAACAGGUUAAUAUUCCUGUACUUGGUGUUACUGCGAAGGGGGGACGGAGAAGGCUAUGUUGGCCGGGCGACGGUUGUCCCGGUUUAAGCGUGUAGGCUGGUUUUCCAGGCAAAUCCGGAAAAUCAAGGCUGAGGCGUGAUGACGAGGCACUACGGUGCUGAAGCAACAAAUGCCCUGCUUCCAGGAAAAGCCUCUAAGCAUCAGGUAACAUCAAAUCGUACCCCAAACCGACACAGGUGGUCAGGUAGAGAAUACCAAGGCGCUUGAGAGAACUCGGGUGAAGGAACUAGGCAAAAUGGUGCCGUAACUUCGGGAGAAGGCACGCUGAUAUGUAGGUGAAGCGACUUGCUCGUGGAGCUGAAAUCAGUCGAAGAUACCAGCUGGCUGCAACUGUUUAUUAAAAACACAGCACUGUGCAAACACGAAAGUGGACGUAUACGGUGUGACGCCUGCCCGGUGCCGGAAGGUUAAUUGAUGGGGUCAGCGCAAGCGAAGCUCUUGAUCGAAGCCCCGGUAAACGGCGGCCGUAACUAUAACGGUCCUAAGGUAGCGAAAUUCCUUGUCGGGUAAGUUCCGACCUGCACGAAUGGCGUAAUGAUGGCCAGGCUGUCUCCACCCGAGACUCAGUGAAAUUGAACUCGCUGUGAAGAUGCAGUGUACCCGCGGCAAGACGGAAAGACCCCGUGAACCUUUACUAUAGCUUGACACUGAACAUUGAGCCUUGAUG
RNAcentral lists this ribosomal RNA (1568 nucleotides) under Escherichia coli. RNAcentral's name for it is "partial 23S ribosomal RNA". It matches the Rfam family "Bacterial large subunit ribosomal RNA", at positions 582 to 2136 of the family's 2925-position model. Lineage: Bacteria; Pseudomonadati; Pseudomonadota; Gammaproteobacteria; Enterobacterales; Enterobacteriaceae. The record is from RNAcentral.